This is a long non-coding RNA of Nothobranchius furzeri (turquoise killifish), 7192 nucleotides long. RefSeq lists it as uncharacterized. The record is from RefSeq and is a predicted model, not a curated record. Lineage: Eukaryota; Metazoa; Chordata; Actinopteri; Cyprinodontiformes; Nothobranchiidae.
GCUGCUUUUUCCUUAAGUAAUUGUUUUUGGAGAGGAUUUUACUGCACUUUAUAUUUAAAAAAGUUGAAGCUUUACUUCAGAAGAACAUGUUUCUUUGUCAUUUUGCUAUUGUAAAAUAAAGUGAUUUGUUUAUGUACAGGGGAACGAACACUGUGCCGACAGAAGUUUCCACAAUCAGUCAAAACAAAAAGAGAAACAAAGUUAAACCAAUGGUAUGUGUGCUUUGUUGCAUUGUUUAGAUUGCCUUGGCCAGUUUAUUGGCUGAUUGGUUGGUUGGUUUGUAUAUUGAUAGUUGGUUGGUAAGUUGGUACAUUGAUUGGAUGGCUGAUUGAUGGGAUGAUUGGCCAGUGGUUUCUUUGGCCAAUUUAUUGGCUGACUAGAUGGCUGGUGUGCAUGUUAAUUGAUUAGUUCGUUGGUUGGUGAGUUGGUGCAUUGACUGGAUAGCUGAUUGGUGGGAUGAUUGGCCGGUUGUUUCCUUGGUCAAUUGAUUGGCUGAGUGGUUUGUAUGUUGAUUGAUUAGUUGGUUGGCUGAUUCAUUGGUUGGUUGGUUGGGCUCAGAAAAGAUCUCAAUAUGCUCACACUGGCUGAACAGCUGAUGUGCAACACAUUUUUUAUGGGAUGUUAUGAGAUCUCCAUUUAUCCCAUGACUUAGGUAUUGCUUAAAUAGUUAACUCAACUCAGUUUUUGUUAGUGAUGUAUUUUCUCUUUUUUGGCCUACUUCUUGCUUCUAAGGGACCCUCAGGAGAAAGAAUUGAGAAACAAAUGUUCACUGAAUCAUACAAAUAAGAGAUGCUCAAACUGAUCUCAAGAAACAAAUCAAGCAAUGAACAACACAUCUUUACUAUGGGUUGAAUGAAUGCCUGAUUAGUUGGGAUGAUUGACUGUGUGAUGUUCUGAGGUAGAUGCUUAACCCAAGACAUGCAGAAUCAGAGACCGAGGCGAGUAUAAAGGAAAAAAUAAAAUAUAUUUUUUAACAGGAGAACUAAGGGCACACUGGGGUCCAGCGGAUGAGAAUCAGGAAGUGGUGUCUACAAGGAAAACAGAGGUGAGUAUGGGAGAUGUAGUCUUGACGGAAUUGUUUGGAGUCAGGACUUACUACGCGGAAGUGAAGCAGGAAAAUGGAGUGGGAGUGAGCCGGGGUGAUAUCCAGAGCGAGAUAGCAGUCCAGGAGGUUGAGUGUUUGACGGAUUGAGUUUAGGAGGCUGAUUCGGAGAGGGAGCGUGAGUGUGGUGGAGAGCGGGUCGGCUGAAUGAGAGGUGAAACAGGAACGAACCGGAUAACUUCUUCCAGAGAUCGCAGAGUGUCCAAAGAUGCAGCAACCUGAGGUUGAGGUCAAACAAACAGGAAAAGAAGCAGAAGAUGUGAGUGCUCCUUUCCUUGAGCCGUACCAAAGAGGCAGUAAAUCACAAUCCACGAGCAGGAACAGAAUUCACCACACCUAUCAAAACCCAUUUAAGAUCAGAGGCCAGAGGUCCAACCGUUUACUAUCUCCUCGUUUUUUCUCUAAUCCUUUCUCUCGGGGUGGAACAACUGACAAAUGAAGGGCAAAUAUACAUGGCCUGCGUCUCUCGAUUUCAGCAAAACAUGAACAGACCCACAUUGGCAGGGAGACCCUUCCACAGCUCCUGCUUUUAUAGCUCAGUUCUUCCUUGUGCAAUGUGACCUACAGAACAACUCAAGGCAAGUUUGCUAAAUGUCUUUUCUGAACAGUAAAGCAAAAAUUGUAGAUAACUCAUGAAGGUGCCUCUGGCCAGAGCCACCUUUAGAGGAAAUUGCUGUGAUUUAGACUCAGCAUCUUUUGGCAUCUGCCCACUUCUAUUUUUCACUCCUAUGGUUGGAGUGUUUGUUUGACUCAUCCAAAUGCUGUCUCAUAAAAUGUGUUUCUUAACCACACCGAGCAAAUAAAGUAACGUGAUAAGCAGUUAAAAGCCAGAAGACUGAAAUGAAGAGUUGUUGUUUGUAUUUCAUUGCUUUGUGCUGCUUUCAUAAACAAUCAAACACUGUUGAAUGGAAACACAUUCUAUUUGAAAUUGUGCAUUUUAUCUCUUGUUUAUUGGUUUUAUUUACAAUGCAUUGUCUCCAUUUUCUUUACACGGCUGAAUUGAUGAUUCCCCAUUAUAGAGAAGAGUCUCAGUGUGAGACGAUUGAUGGCCACGUCCCUAUUGAGAUCAUGCAACAUCAGUGUAUUUCCUCGCUGGCUAUGCUAUUUUCUAAUUUCCCUGUGGUGCAAAUCUUAUCAUUUUUACCAUUUGAAGUCACCAAAACCAGCAACGUCUAACAGUGCUGUUUCACCCCAAAACACCAUAUCCUUUUAAAGUCAUAGCUGCAUGUUGAGUCUCUGCUUUCUGCCGGCAACACAUGGAAUCUAAGUAAUGGUAAAUCACUGAAAAGGAUGAUUAGACAAAAUGAUGUCUUGGGCUACCAGAGAGAAACAUGAAGACAAGUGUGUUCCACAGGAAGAAGGAAACUGUGUUGCUAACAUUUUUAUUAGGAUUGGGCUGGUGUCAAAACAGUAAAAAUGCAUUCAUUUACUGAGGUAGAGUGGCCACUUUUCUUCCAUUGUUUGAAGUGAGUAAUGGGACGUAGACUCCUGCCUCUUAGCAGAAGUCACAGUUUUACCUUCAUUGCUGUUCGUCACACAUCAUUGAUCACAAAAUCUAAACAAAUUUGAUGCAAAGUGUUGCAAGUGUUUUAAAGAGGACAUGCUAUACAAAAGUCACCUUUUGCGUUAUUUUGUGCUGCCAUGUGGGUCUCUACUGCUUCUAUAAACACUCCAAAUUUGAACAAAAAUCCCUUCAUCCAUUUUAUGUCAGUGUUUGGCUUUAGGAAUCAUCAGCCUAAAAUUAGUUGUUUCAAAAGGACCCAGCAGCAGCUCUACUACGAGCCCCUCCCAGGUACAGGAGCUGCUCAGCUUAUAGCAGCUUGAGUGGGGGAUGGGUGAGGGUGGACAGCUUCAACUUGUUUCCUUAAAGUGACAGGGCCCUGAGACGUCUCAUUCUGGAAAGUCCUUAAAAUGUCAAGAGCAAAUCUACUGAGAUGGUUUUAUGGGAGGGAUUUAGUGCAAAGAAAUAAAAGUAGGUUGAUAUCAACUAUGGAACUAUUAGAACUUAGGGAAAAAGGUCAUAAAAUGACUUCAUUAUGAUAAAUUUAUAUUUAUAAUCAGCAACAUAACCAAAACAGGAUGAUUGGUCUGCCUCAGUGUUGGGCACCAGCUUGUGAUGAGUCUCAGCUUUUUGUUGUUCCUUCAGCAUUUUUUUUAAUCUUCUGGUGGCGCAACAAAGACCAAAGUGGUUUAUGAUUUGUUGUCGACCAGCAUGCAUUGGGCACCCCUGAAAAGCAUUGAGUACAACAUUUUCAACAAGUAAACAACUCUGUUUGUGUACAGACGUUCUUCCAUUAGCUCUGAUUGUAUCACAUCACCAAAAGUUAGAUGUUUGAAAACAAAAAUGCACCAUUCCUGAUGCCCUGGAAACACAUCUUGUCAGGGAUAACUAGAUUUGAAGACCUUAACUUUAGUAUUUUUGGCAUUUUGUUUCAUUUUAAGUUCAGUACAUAUAUUUGUUAUGUUGCCCCUUUUUCACUGUGUCGGUUUGUGGCUUGUUUUAUUUCAUUAACCGCACAGGCCACCAUAGUUUUAAAGCAAUAAUCAACCAAGAUAAUUCCAAACUAGAACAUUAGAAAAAGAAAACAAAAUUCAACAUUCACCAAAUGUCACUCAUAACAAGAAAAAGCCUCUAUCAUGGUGGCUUUGAUUAACCUCAUUCUGUCAGCUGACAUUUAUCCUAAAAACUACUGUUACAGGAAAAUCAGUAAAAUCAUAAUAAAUAUUCCCAUGAGCCCUUGUGUCCCUAUUAAAACAAUGGUUCCUGUAGCAUAUUGCCGCUGUAGCUGGAAAAUGAUCAAACAAGUAAACAUUUGGUUUUACAUGUGUUUUUAAUUGAUCCUCCCACUGGAUGAGUCUGUAAAAUUUCUAGCUGCUUAGCUUCUUUCAAUUUAUGUUUUCAGUUUAGAAAACUUUGUUGACUGUAAGUUGAUUUUUGCUUCUUGAAAAAAAAACUGUAUAUAACCAGGAGUUUGAACUGAGGUUCUGCUAACAUUUGGACGUGUAUUUCAAUGUAUAAGCAGUAUAAUCAGUGCUUGUUUUGCACCACUACACCAUUUCAUGGAGUCAGCAAUAGAACAUUACAUGUAAUUAGUUACAGUCUACACAUGUUUUAAAUAAAUAUCUGACUUUUACAACAAUACUUUUGCCAAAUGAUAGCACAGAAGGUAUUUUUAUGGCGGUGUAAAUUAAUUCAAGUAAGAUAAAAUAAUUUUAAAGACCAUCAACCAGCUCAACUCUGCCACCUGCAGACGUAAAUCUGUUACAGUGUCCUUUAAAUUUGAACUCUGGAGAAAACCUUUGUUUUUACAGUGAAGCCUUAUGGUGACUAAAGUGGAUAUCUCUGAAGGUAAUCCUUCCACAUAUGUGUUCAUGUGAGAAAGGGAGGAUAAUUAAUGAGUUUAACACUUGUCAUGAUAAACUAGUGCUUGGAGUAUCUCGUCAUCCUCUUUUGGCAAGAAGCACGUGUUGGUUUGGCUGAAGAAGAGGCAAAAAUAUAAUGUUUACCAACUCGAUAACUAAUAAUGUUAAAUAACCAGGAUAUCAGUUUUGGGCUCAAUUGUGUUUAAAUAUUUUUGUCAAUAAUGGAGCAGAAAAUGCUGGAAUAUAAGUGUUGUAAUUAAUAAAUGUAAAUGUUACUACUUUAUAAGACAUGCUGGAAUGAAACCUGACAAACAGCGGUGUGUGAUGCGUUUUCAGGGCUAAAAAUGCCAGUUUGACUGAGUUUGCUUAAGAUGUAGCGUUUUCGGCUAGUUUAUUUUUACUAUGUGGUGAUUGGAUAGUUAUAUGGAACAGAGAAGACUCAACAUGAAAGUAAAGAAAACAUUGCUAGAUGGUUUUCAGUGUAGCAGAUCACACAGAAGCUUUGAGAGUGUUUCAGGUCUCUCCAACUCCUCAUAUUGAGCAAUGAAAGCAGAGCAACGAUGUGAGAGCCAGCGGAGGCUCUAGGACUUCACACUUUGGGUCCUGGUUUUAUACCCAGCCAACAGCACUUCCCAGCCUAACUGCGUUUCUGCCUUCCAGCCGUUCAUUUCCAUGGCAGAUCCAGCCUACUCCACUGCUCAGAGCUGUGCUUAGAUCCCAGUUCUUUUUUGGUUGUUUCUUUUCCCCCGAUUUCUGAUGUUCCUCCACUUCAGCAAUGUUAACACAUUUCAUAUAUCCAGGAGGAGAAAUAAAUUAUCACAGGUCUACUCUCAUCCAUUGUAUAUCAACUACCUCUCCUUGUCUCGCUUUUGCUCUGCUCCAAUUAUUCCUCCCUGCAGCCAGGAUUUCCCUUCCUUUGGUCAUAAUAGUUAGACUGUGAAAUCACCCAGGCUUCACACUCCACCCCUCAUCCCCAUGCCUCCCACUAAUCACCCUUUUCCUUCUCUGAUCCCCAAAACUUUUUCUAACUUAUUCUGGCCAGACGUGUAUAUUUAUGGCUUCAGAGUUAGGGUGUCAGGAACCAAUGAUGUCUGCUCUCAAUGGUUAAAGCCUAACAAUCCCAUACUUAAAUGAUGGGGCUACUGGAAGACCAAUCUGACAUACAUUAACACCUCCAGGCACAUCCUUCAAAAACACACAUCAUGACCUCCCUUUGCUGACACCUGCAGCAUCCGCUGGCUAGUUUACAUCUCCUGUUAGGCCCUCAGCAAGUGGACAAACUUUAAAAAUGUCUGGGAUUAAGGAAAUAAAUAAAUAAAUAAAACAAUGCUAGCAGCAAAAGUGCCCUUUAUUACUUAUUUAUCUCCAUUGGAGAAAGAAAUAAGUAAUGCAGCCAGCCAACGUUAUGCCUCAUGCCUGCAAGCAGGAUGUUUUAUUUAGGUUUCUGAAAUCACAUGAAAUAAAACAAACUGUGCAGAACAUCUUGUAAAGUUGAUGGUAAUCUAUUGUUUAAUUAAUGUCCAGUUUCCUUUUUAAAUAAUGGGAGAAAAGAUUAAAUCAUUUUUUAUAUCAAAGGCACAUUGUGCAGGUUCAGCCUCCUCUAAGAUGUAAGGAAUGUUUGUUUCUCAGUAUCUGGAAAUUCUUCAAUGAACGUGAUCAAGUAUUCUUUUCAAUUCAAUUCAAAAAUACUUUAUUAAUCCCAGAGGGAAAUUGAUUUUGUGACUUAAUAAGUAUUUAUGAGGAAAGCUACUGCCCUCUUGUGUUUUAGGCUAUUGAGUGUCAACGAUACAGCUAAGAGGAAUUUUUUAGUGUGUGCUUGUGGUUGUCAUGCAAGGAUGCAGUGCUGUAAAAAAGACUUGGCCCUAUUCCAGACUUUUUGUGGUUUGGGUUUUUGGUCACAGUUAAAUAUUUUUAUUGCCAAAAAAUGGCAUCAGACAAAAAUAACCUGAUAUACUCAAAAUGCAGUUUAAAAAUUAUUGUAUCUAAUGAGAGACUUUUGGUCCAGUAUGGAAAAAGUAAAUCAUGAUUUAUGUUUGGAUAAAGGUGAGUUUUACUAAUUUAUUCAAUACAUUUGCAGUGGCCUGUAGUAGAAAAUAUUACCAUGUAAGUUGUACUCUGGGGAACGUAAGCUCUGGUGCUCCAGGUUCAGGAGCAGGAAGUGAACUAGAUCAGAUUUGAGCUCAAGACAGCAGAACACCAGGGGUGUUUCACAAUGACAAGGAACCUCGCCUUGAUGUCUUGGUCCUGCCCCAGUUGCCUAGGAGAUAUGUCAUUGGGGGCCGCCAAGACGUGUUCCAAUGUUCAUAUUCUACCGAGGCGUGUGUUCUCCGUUUGUUAGCCGUUUAGCUAGCUGAACAAGGAGACAUGGGAGGUGUCUUGUAGCCUAGCCUUGGUCAAAAAUUACCCAGAAUACACCGCAGUAUUUUCAAAAGGACAGUGGAUCAGAGGCCAGCAGCUACUUCGGGGGCACAUUUUAAAGUUUAAAAGUAAGUCAACUAAUUUAAAAUGUUUUUUAGAUCCAAAUAAGUUAUCUAUGGUUGGUUAGUUGCUUAGUAGUUUUAACUUAGGUGGCUAGCAGGUAGUAACUCGCUUACAUAUUUAAUUUAACAAAUAUACACACAAUUUAAAAAGUAAAAGUCAUGUUAUAUAUUUAUAUUGAAACUAAUACGUCUUGGCGGCUCCUGAUGACGUAUUUCCUAGGCAACCGGGGCGGGACCAAGACAUCAA